Molecule: ribosomal RNA, 408 nt
Filed under: uncultured Diversisporales
Lineage: Eukaryota; Fungi; Glomeromycota; Glomeromycetes; Diversisporales
Description: eukaryotic LSU rRNA
Rfam family: Eukaryotic large subunit ribosomal RNA (bases 353-408)
Source: RNAcentral
UCGAUCACGUGUGAAUCAUCGAAUCUUUGAACGCACUUUGCACCUUGCGGCUUUUGUCACAAGGUAUACUUGUUUGAGUAUCCACAACUACCUCACCUCCCCUUCGGGGCGAAGUGGACUUGAGAUUCGAUAACUAACUAUUAGUUAGGAGUCGUUUCUUUAAAUGUGGUGGUCGCUUGUGGGAGGUCUCCGUCUGGAGCCUGACAGACUAUUGGGAUAACAUCCUGACGAUCGUCUGUCGGUUCAAUACUUGGACGUUGACUGACCUUGGCCAACAUUGAAGACAUCCUUAUCAAAUGGGACAUGUCUUCACGUAGAUCAUAAUGUAAAAGUUAUGUGACACAGUAUAAAUGGAUCUCAAAUCAAGUAAGGAUACCCGCUGAACUUAAGCAUAUCAAUAAGCGGAGG